This is a non-coding RNA of Canis lupus familiaris (dog), 72 nucleotides long. NCBI's taxonomy places the organism in Eukaryota, Metazoa, Chordata, Mammalia, Carnivora, Canidae. The record is from Rfam.
GCCUGAUUGGCUCAGUUGGUGGAGCAUGGGACUCUUGAUCUCACAGUGUGAGUUCGAGUCCCACAUUGGGCA